GGGGGGGCUCCGGGGUGCCCCUCCCCCGCUCUCCCGAAAUGGCGCCUCGGGCCGUGUACCCCCAGCUCCAGUCAGGGGGUGGAGGAGGAAACCCCUGUAAUGGCGGGCAGCGCGUUUCACUGAGCCCACUUGGGCAACUUUAGUCGCCCACGAAGCGAGCUGUAGCCCACGAAAGCUGAUGCUCAAAUAAAAGUGUUCGUCUCCGAGGUGCCACGAGGCCUCCUGUUCUGUUUGCUUUACUCUCCUGCCCGCUGAACCGGCAGCCGCCCUGGCGCGCGGGUCCUUCCUGCCUGGGUAGCGCCAGGCACGCCGCCUUGGCCGCCUCCUCACCCGCCGGGGCCGCCCUCGGGGGGCCGAGGCGAGGGGUGUGAGCCUCCCGGUUCCGAGAGAAAACGUGGCUCGCUGGCCCACGCCUGGGACACCAGCAAAACGUGCAACACACCGGCACCGGUGGCAGCCCCCCGCCACCGCAGUUUCAGCUGAUUCCCCGACUGCUGUUGGCUGUGCCCACACAGGCCAGGCACGAGUUACAAGCGCAGCCUGGGAAGCAAGAGCAGGGCACAGAAAGGGCGUCAAAAAAAUGCAAGUUUGAUGAAAGCUACAUUGACCUUGGAUUUACGUGGACUGGGGACGCUGGAUAUCCUCAGCCACAGCGUGUCCUGUGCGGUGCAAACAGCACUCUUAAACUGUCCCUUCUUCGCCAGCAUCUAGAGACUAAACACAAUUAAUUUAAAGACAAACCAGCUCAGUUUUUCAAUUGCAAACUGGAAGUGCUAAAAAGCAAUAAAAAAAAUCCUGCCAUCGAACUCUUGCGUGGAAAAUGUGAAUGCACUUUGAGCUUCACACUUCAUGAGUUACAGAGUGGCUAAAACAGGAGAACCACACGCUAUUACAGAAGAUUUCCUUAUAUCUGCUGUGAAGGCCGUGAGGAAUUGCAUGCUCGGUGAAAAAGCAGAAAAAAAAUAACUUGAUUCCAUACCCCUCUCCAAUGACACUGUCACACUGCAUUGCCGAUAUGGCUGAAAAUGUUCUUUUUCAGCUUGUGAAUUGGGUUAGGAACAGUGACUAUUAUUCUUUGCAAUUAGACAAGUCCACGGAUUUAGACAGCCUAGCUAAUCUUUUGCUUUAUGUUCCUUAUAUGUAUGAAAGUACCAUACAUGAAGACUUUCUCUUUUGUCAUUCCCUGCCUAUCCAAACAACAGGAGAAGAGAUUUUUUUUACUGCUUGAUAACUUCAUGAGUGAGAAUAGAAUUGACUGGUCCCACUGUGUAGGGAUUUCUACUGAUGGGACAAAAUCAAUGAUAGGAAAGCACAGUGGAGUCAUGGUUCGCAUCAAGGCUGUAGUAACAGAAGACACAUGGGUGCACUGCAGCAUCCAUAGAGAGGCCCUAGCUUCCCAAAGAAUGCCUGAAAACUUAAUGUCAGUGUUGUCUGAUGCUGUCAAAAUGGUUAACUUCAUUAAGGGUCAGUGUCUAAAUUCAAGAAUUUUUGCUACCCUGUGUAAUGAAAACGGGAAAUGACCAUUUGCCGCUACUAAUGCACACUGAGCUUCACUGGCUAUCGUGUGGCAAAGUGCUGACAUGACUCUUUGAGCUGCACAGCGAGCUUCAAUUUUUUUUCACCGAUCACUACCCCUUUGCACUGUCAUCUUGCUUGGAAGAUGCUGCCUGGCUUCAGCCAUUAGCCUACUUGGCAGACAUUUUUUCUUGCCUUAACGAGCUCAAUUUUGGCCUUCAGGGCUUAAGCACCACUAUUUUCGAAACACAAGACAAAAUCGAAUCCAUGAUUAAGAAACUACUAUUUUGGGAUAGUUGCUUAAAGAGAAAUGUGAUUGACUGCUUUCCAACACUGCAAGAAUUUCUUGCAACAAAUUACAAUAUGCUGUUACAUGAGAGUGUGAAAGCUGACAUUAUGGAACACUUGCAACAACUUAGCAAACAACUUAGAAAAUAUUUCCCCAAAAUGGACAAUGCAAAUUCCUGGAUAUGCAAUCCCUUUAAGGUGCCUGAAUCUCUUCCAGUUCCUUCUCUGCCAGUGGAUGAGCAGGAGAAACUUUUAGAUCUCUCCUGUGACAGUGGUCUUAAAUUAGAAUUUGCAUGCAAACCUUUGGCAGACUUCUGGGUGCAAAGGAUGAAAGAUUACCCAUACCUGUCAAAACGAGCUGUCAAGUUUCUGAUGCCCUUCUCCACAACAUACCUUUGUGAGACUGGAUUCUCUGCCCUCAUGGCUAUCAAGACAGAGUAUCCUCAGAGAUUAAAUGCUGAAAAUGACUUGUGAGUGAAGCUCUCUCCAAUUUUUCCUGCCAUCAGUGAUUUGUGUGAUAAAAAGCAAGGACAUCCAUCACACUGAUAGGCAGAAUAGAUCCCUUUGGACUCAAAAGGGUUUUCCCAAGUUCUGGUUUCCCUUAUAAAAAUAGGCAGUGCCUACCUGAGAAGGGGGAACCUUUGAGCAGCUCCCUCAGGUGUUGGAACUGGAGCAGCUUCACUCGGAUACAAAAAUGGAAACCGCGCAGGAAGAAGUUGCUGAUCUAGAGAGAAACAACUCCACUCCUGGAUUGGAAGAGUUUCAGACUGUAUGUGGUUCUGGUCAUGAUUUGAUUUUAGUUCUGUGUGAAGGGUAGAGCUGGGCACAUUUUUUUUUCAACAUACUGUUUUUUCACCACAAAAUGCAUUUUCCCUGGGUGCUGACUCCGAGAGCAAACUGAUCUCUUUGCCCAGAAAAGGAUUUUCUUUACCAACAAGGUGUUUCCUGGCGCUCGCAAGUAGGGUGCUGGAGAUGAGCCCUGUAUCACUGUUGCUAGUACAUGAAGUACAUUGCUGCAGCCUGUGAACGCCAUACUCCUCUGCAAACUGUGCAGUUUACCCAGUAAGACAUCAAUAAAAAACAAACAAACAAAAAAUGAGAACAGGUGACCAAGAGGAAAACCUGGGUCCACGCCCAACUCAACACUUGGGCUGGUAUGCCAUUAGCCUAGGUUUGUUGUCUUCUGUUCUACACUUGGGUCCAGCUUGGGACCAUCUGUUCUGCACAUGGUACAUGCCUAUCACGGGUCGUGUCCUGGCUGACAUCAGCCUAGCGGACAGAGAGGUGAGCAAACCAAGCGCAACACCUUGUAAACUGCCCCAAGUCCCACUGUGCGGACAGUUGCUAGUGGGUCAUUUGAUUUGCUCUAGCUCAGAUGGGUGGAAGGUGGAAGGAAAUGGUGUGGGAAGCUCUGUCUCUGCUAGCCCUGGGAUGGCUGGCUCCAGUCACUAACUCCGUCCAACUCAGUCUCUGCCUCGGUCUGCUCUCCAUGCUGACGGGUGAGGCUGAUUCUCCGUUGCUGAACCAAGCCUGAGCAGAUGAACUAUUUGCAGAAUUCAGCAGUAGGGCUCGGCGUCCCCUGAAAGGAGAUGAAACAGUGUGACGAGGUGAGGAUAGUAGAGGGCAGGGAACAUUUUCCAUCGUGUCUCUGCUUUCCAGUCUUUACUCGCUCUUCUCAGGUCUGCUGCUUUAUAAAGCUGCCUGACCUGAGAAUGUGCUGUGAAGAGCACCAGCAAAUCAUCACUGCCCAGGAUGGAUGAUGUCUUGCCAAGCUACAACAUUCAGCAGAGAGCUCUCACCCUAGCAAGAGGAUAAUGCACAGGAUGACUGGCUUUUAGAUGUGCAGAGCACCCACAAACCCUGUUGUGGGCUCAGCACCUCUGCAAAUCAGGCCCUCUGUGGUUUGUGGGAUUGGCUAAUAAAUUAGCAUUCAUAACCACUGGGUGCAGAGCCAGUGCUGGAGCGUGGAAACUGCAGUGCAAUCAAUGCUGCAGGCACAUAUGGCAGCCCCUGGUUCCGCUAGUGAGCUCGGAGCAGCUCUGGCAACAGCAUCUCCUAUGUCUUCUGAGAGAAGUGGUUGCCCAGCAACCCUCCUCUGACUUCUAGGGGACAACAGUUCCCAUCCAAUGCUUCAUUAAGUUCCACCAAAUGGGGUAUAGCACCACAAAGAUCUAAAACUUUACUCACCUUGUCUCUCUAAUAUCCUAGGACCUACACAGCUACAACUACACUGCAUACAAGGAGGAGGGGCAGACAAAGAUUGGGAAGAAGAGACAGAAGAUGGAGAGAGGAGGAGAGCUGGGUUGGGUGAAGGGAAGCUGGAGACAGGUGGGGGUGAAGGAGGAAGGGGAAUUAACUAGUGCGGACCAGCAUGUCCAUGUAGUUACGGAGGUGAUGCAGUGACUGAGGCUGCAGAAGAUCUUGUGGUGGGACUGGCCUCCCUGAGGCAAUUCACACAUCCUGACCAGCUCUGCCUCUGCCUGUUUUUCUCCUUCUAGCAUCUUGCCCACUUUAGUGCUACUUCCCACCUGGAGACCCAGGUUGGUGCAAUUCCUACUCCAGGGGAAGGAGCCAUUCCAAGAUUAAAGGAAAGUCAGAAUAGGUACCAGGACCUAGCAGUGAUCAAACCAGUUUCUGAAUGAACCAAAAGCACAUCUCUGAAAGUCUCUUCCUUACCCAUACAUUCAGCUUGGAGUUGCAUUCCCAGAAUGGUGUUCUGCAAAAUGGCAGCCUUCUAAGUCACUUCAUUAUUUUUGUUAAUUGUCAUUGACAGUUUAAUAACUUCUGAAGUUAUUUCAGCUUCCUAGCGACUGGAUGCCAUGACUAGAAACCCCUUGUGCUCCACAGUUUCCCUGCAUUAUGGAGUCUUACCCUUUGAAGAGGAAGCUGCAGGUGAUCAGUAUGUCAAACAGGAGGAACUUCAGCAACAACACUCUGAUGGCCAAGAGAAGCAGGAUUUGUGAACGGACGGGCAGAGCUGAAACAGAUGGGAUCAUGUACCUGAUCAGGACCUGGGGUGCCACACAGAAAAAUUACCAGUGGUCCCUAUUGGGACUGUGUCUGGCCGCAGUGCCCAACCUUAUUACACAAGAGGGCCACAUAAACCUAAGCACAACCUUGUGUGAGCCAAACAGCUUCCACAUAUUUUAAUAAGAUUUAAAGUAACCUGUAUUGAUUUAUAUUUUAAGUUCUCUUGUUUCAUAUAUAUUUAGAUAGGUUGUUUCUAUGUACGGUAUUGUCUGUUCACACUCUUGUGUAAACUAAAAAGAUGUAAACGUGAUGCCAAAACGCUAAUAAAUCUGCCAUUAGUAAA
This is a long non-coding RNA of Chelonia mydas (Green sea turtle), 5116 nucleotides long. RefSeq lists it as uncharacterized. NCBI's taxonomy places the organism in Eukaryota, Metazoa, Chordata, Testudines, Cheloniidae. The transcript has 2 exons. The record is from RefSeq and is a predicted model, not a curated record.